RNAcentral lists this ribosomal RNA (497 nucleotides) under uncultured bacterium. RNAcentral's name for it is "partial 16S ribosomal RNA". It matches the Rfam family "Bacterial small subunit ribosomal RNA", at positions 28 to 507 of the family's 1533-position model. The record is from RNAcentral.
GAUGAACGCUGGCGGCGUGCCUAAUACAUGCAAGUCGAGCGAACAGACGAGGAGCUUGCUCCUCUGACGUUAGCGGCGGACGGGUGAGUAACACGUGGAUAACCUACCUAUAAGACUGGGAUAACUUCGGGAAACCGGAGCUAAUACCGGAUAAUAUAUUGAACCGCAUGGUUCAAUAGUGAAAGACGGUUUUGCUGUCACUUAUAGAUGGAUCCGCGCCGCAUUAGCUAGUUGGUAAGGUAACGGCUUACCAAGGCAACGAUGCGUAGCCGACCUGAGAGGGUGAUCGGCCACACGGGAACUGAGACACGGUCCAUACUCCUACGGGAGGCAGCAGUAGGGAAUCUUCCGCAAUGGGCGAAAGCCUGACGGAGCAACGCCGCGUGAGUGAUGAAGGUCUUCGGAUCGUAAAACUCUGUUAUUAGGGAAGAACAAAUGUGUAAGUCACUAUGCACGUCUUGACGGUACCUAAUCAGAAAGCAACGGCUAACUACGUG